AAUGAACGUUGGCGGCGUGGAUUAGGCAUGCAAGUCGAGCGGAAAGGCCCGCAAGGGCACUCGAGCGGCGUAAGGGACAGUAAUGUGUAGGUAACGUACCCCUGGGUCUAGGAUAGCUGCGGGAAACUGCAAUUAAUACUAGAUAACGUCUCCGGACCAAAGGUGUGAUUCCACCUGGGGAGCGGCCUACAUCCUAUUAGCUAGUUGGCGAGGUAAUGGCUCACCAAGGCGAAGAUGGGUAGCAGGUGUGAGAGCACGACCUGCGUCACUGGGACUGAGACACUGCCCAGACACCUACGGGUGGCUGCAGUCGAGAAUCUUCGGCAAUGGGCGAAAGCCUGACCGAGCGACGCCGCGUGUGGGAUGAAGGCCUUCGGUUGUAACCGACUGUCGGAGGGGAGU
This 402-nucleotide ribosomal RNA is filed under the name uncultured bacterium. RNAcentral's name for it is "bacterial SSU rRNA". It matches the Rfam family "Bacterial small subunit ribosomal RNA", at positions 29 to 447 of the family's 1533-position model. The record is from RNAcentral.